GAUCUCAUAGCGGAGUGGAUAUGGCGUUAGACUCCGGAUAUAAAGGUCGUGGGUUCGAAUCCCACUGCUAUCG
Non-coding RNA from Populus trichocarpa (black cottonwood), 73 nucleotides. The record is from Rfam. Lineage: Eukaryota; Viridiplantae; Streptophyta; Magnoliopsida; Malpighiales; Salicaceae.